CUUAUUUUAGUUUAUAUAAAACCAUACAUUUUCAUUGUAUAAAAGAAAUCAAUUCAAAUAAGU
RNAcentral lists this transfer RNA (63 nucleotides) under Lynceus grossipedia. RNAcentral describes it as "tRNA-Glu". The record is from RNAcentral. Lineage: Eukaryota; Metazoa; Arthropoda; Branchiopoda; Diplostraca; Lynceidae.